RNAcentral lists this ribosomal RNA (497 nucleotides) under uncultured bacterium. RNAcentral describes it as "partial 16S ribosomal RNA". It matches the Rfam family "Bacterial small subunit ribosomal RNA", at positions 28 to 507 of the family's 1533-position model. The record is from RNAcentral.
GAUGAACGCUGGCGGCGUGCCUAAUACAUGCAAGUCGAGCGAACAGACGAGGAGCUUGCUCCUCUGACGUUAGCGGCGGACGGGUGAGUAACACGUGGAUAACCUACCUAUAAGACUGGGAUAACUUCGGGAAACCGGCGCUAAUACCGGAUAAUAUAUUGAACCGCAUGGUUCAAUAGUGAAAGACGGUUUUGCUGUCACUUAUAGAUGGAUCCGCGCCGCAUUAGCUAGUUGGUAAGGUAACGGCUUACCAAGGCAACGAUGCGUAGCCGACCUGAGAGGGGGAUCGGCCACACGGGAACUGGGACACGGUCCAGACUCCUGCGGGAGGCAGCAGUAGGGAAUCUUCCGCAAUGGGCGAAAGCCUGACGGAGCAACGCCGCGUGAGUGAUGAAGGUCUUCGGAUCGUAAAACUCUGUUAUUAGGGAAGAACAAAUGUGUAAGUAACUAUGCACGUCUUGACGGUACCUAAUCAGAAAGCCACGGCUAACUACGUG